AAAUAUUAAUACAUUGUUGCAGCUGCUGUGUAAUUACAACACAAACAAACUGUCAUUCGGUGAAAGAAGCUGCUAGUGGAUGUGCGUAUUUCUGUGCUCAGUAAAACGACAUUAAACAUUUAUUAGGGACGAAUUGAAGCUCACUUGGGACAGGAACUUAUCACUGAAGAACGAGAGAGAGACUGGAGUGAGGACCAUAAAAAACGCGCAGAGGAACACGACAGCCAGAAUAAGCGGAGGCAUGAACAUAGGAAUCUAGUAAUGGCUCCCGGCUUAAAGGAACUGCUGCAGGAGGCGGAGUGUCCAGUAUGUAUGGAGUACAUGCUACCACCAAUCGUCAUGUGCGUGAACGGGCACAGUACUUGUUCCACCUGCAGAGAGAAACUUCUGACCUGUCCAGUCUGCAGGUGCAAAUUUUCAAAAGGCAGAAAUCUACUAGCAGAAAAUUUGAUUGGAAAAAUUAUGUGUCCCUGCCGACAUUCGAACAGAGGAUGCAGUAAGACGUUUAAUUUACUGGGUGUAAGGAAACAUGAAGACGAGUGCGGUCACCGUCCGUUCAAAUGUCCAUUCUCUUCUAUUGCGACUGUAAAAUGUCCCUGGGAGGACAACGUGAGCAAGGUCAUGACCCACAUUCGGGAAAGGCAUUACAUACAUACUGACACAAAAGAAAACGGGAAGCUGAGUGGAGUUAUUAAUUGUAAUGAUCCAAAUAAUUCCGAUUGGCGCAAAGCCAUAUUCAUGUUAGGCGAGAUAUUCUUUAUGACCACCAGAUUUAAGCAAAAUAAUGUUUACGUUUGUCUUUGUCACGUGGGCCUACAGAACAUACCCAGUUACAAAUAUGAAGUGACGAUUAGAAAACGGAAUGGCGCAGGCAGUUUUUCCGAAUGUAAAACAACAAACUCUUUUCAGGGCGAUGUGCAAAAAAUAUUUGAAGUAAAGGACUGUGCUGUUUUCAAAAAGGUACGGUGGAACAAAUGCACUAAUAAACGCAAGAAUUUGUUUUAUAAGGUAUUAAUAUCCAAGAACUGUAAACAAUAAA
This is a non-coding RNA of Zootermopsis nevadensis, 1039 nucleotides long. The record is from RefSeq and is a predicted model, not a curated record. NCBI's taxonomy places the organism in Eukaryota, Metazoa, Arthropoda, Insecta, Blattodea, Termopsidae.